UACGUAGGUGGCAAGCGUUAUCCGGAUUUACUGGGUGUAAAGGGCGUGUAGGCGGGGACGCAAGUCAGAUGUGAAAACCACGGGCUCAACCUGUGGCCUGCAUUUGAAACUGUGUUUCUUGAGUACUGGAGAGGCAGACGGAAUUCCUAGUGUAGCGGUGAAAUGCGUGGAUAUUAGGAGGAACACCGGUGGCGAAGGCGGUCUGCUGGACAGCAACUGACGCUGAGGCGCGAAAGCGUGGGGAGCAAACAGG
RNAcentral lists this ribosomal RNA (253 nucleotides) under uncultured bacterium. RNAcentral's name for it is "partial 16S ribosomal RNA". It matches the Rfam family "Bacterial small subunit ribosomal RNA", at positions 524 to 776 of the family's 1533-position model. The record is from RNAcentral.